CCUACGGGAGGCAGCAGUGAGGAAUAUUGGUCAAUGGGCGAGAGCCUGAACCAGCCAAGUCGCGUGAGGGAGUACUGCCCUAUGGGUUGUAAACCUCUUUUGUCGGGGAGCAAAAGCCGGACGUGUCCGGCUGUGAGAGUACCCGAAGAAAUAGCAUCGGCUAACCCCGUUCCAGCAGACGCGGUAAUACGGAGGAUGCGAGUGUUAUCCGGAUUUAUUGGGUUUAAAGGGUUCGCAGGCGGAUUUUUAAGUCAGCGGUAAAAUCGUGGGGCUCAACCCCAGACAGCCGUUGAAACUGGGGAUCUAGAGUGUGCGAGAGGUAUGCGGAAUGCGUGGUGUAGCGGUGAAAUGCAUAGAUAUCACGCAGAACCCCGAUUGCGAAGGCAGCAUACCGGUGCACAACUGACGCUGAGGCACGAAAGCGUGGGUAUCGAACAGGAUUAGAUACCCCUGUAGUC
This 458-nucleotide ribosomal RNA is filed under the name uncultured bacterium. RNAcentral's name for it is "partial 16S ribosomal RNA". It matches the Rfam family "Bacterial small subunit ribosomal RNA", at positions 338 to 795 of the family's 1533-position model. The record is from RNAcentral.